Molecule: transfer RNA, 72 nt
Filed under: Xiphophorus maculatus (southern platyfish)
Lineage: Eukaryota; Metazoa; Chordata; Actinopteri; Cyprinodontiformes; Poeciliidae
Rfam family: tRNA
About the family: Transfer RNA (tRNA) molecules are approximately 80 nucleotides in length.
Source: Rfam by way of RNAcentral
UUCUCGUUAGUAUAGUGGUGAGUAUCCCCGCCUGUCACGUGGGAGACUGGGGUUCAAUUCCCUGACAUGGAG